GGCGGCGUGCUUAACACAUGCAAAGUCAAGGGGGGCCCGCAAGGGUCAACCGGCGAACGGGUGCGUAACACGUGAGCGACCUGCCCAGUUGCGGGGGAUAGCCGGCCCAACGGCCGGGUAAUACCGCAUACGCGUCCUUGGGGGCAUUCCUGGGGACGGAAACCUACGGGGCGAUUGGAGGGGCUCGCGGCCCAUCAGCUAGUUGGUGCGGUAACGGCGCACCAAGGCGAUGACGGGUAGCUGGUCUGACAGGAUGGCCAGCCACAUUGGGACUGAGAGACGGCCCAGACUCCUACGGGAGGCAGCAGUGGGGAAUCUUGCGCAAUGGCCGAAAGGCUGACGCAGCGACGCCGCGUGGAGGAUGACGCCCUUCGGGGUGUAAACUCCUGUUGCCCGGGACGAAUACCCGUUUCGACGGGGGUGACGGUACCGGGUGAGGAAGCACCGGCUAACUCUGUGCCAGCAGCCGCGGUAAUACAGAGGGUGCGAGCGUUGUCCGGAAUCACUGGGCGUAAAGGGCGCGUAGGCGGCUGGGUAAGCGUGUGGUGAAAGCCCGGGGCUCAACCCCGGGUCGGCCAUGCGAACUGUCCAGCUGGAGCACCGGUAGAGGCACAUGGAAUUCCGGGUGUAGCGGUGGAAUGCGUAGAGAUCCGGAAGAACACCCGGUGGCGAAGCCGCUGUGCUGGGCCGUGGCUGACGCUGAGGCGCGACAGCGUGGGGAGCAAACAGGAUUAGAUACCCCUGGUAGUCCACGCCGUAAACGAUGGGCACUAGGUCCUUGGGGGAGCGACCCCGUGAGGGCCGGCGCUAACGCAUUAAGUGCCCCGCCUGGG
This 833-nucleotide ribosomal RNA is filed under the name uncultured Gemmatimonadota bacterium. Its description in RNAcentral is "bacterial SSU rRNA". It matches the Rfam family "Bacterial small subunit ribosomal RNA", at positions 38 to 877 of the family's 1533-position model. The record is from RNAcentral. Lineage: Bacteria; Pseudomonadati; Gemmatimonadota.